RNAcentral lists this ribosomal RNA (249 nucleotides) under uncultured bacterium. Its description in RNAcentral is "partial 16S ribosomal RNA". It matches the Rfam family "Bacterial small subunit ribosomal RNA", at positions 524 to 769 of the family's 1533-position model. The record is from RNAcentral.
UACAGAGGGUGCAAGCGUUAAUCGGAUUUUACUGGGCGGUAAAGCGCGCGUAGGCGGCUAAUUAAGUCAAAUGUGAAAUCCCCGAGCUUAACUUGGGAAUUGCAUUCGAUACUGGUUAGCUAGAGUGUGGGAGAGGAUGGUAGAAUUCCAGGUGUAGCGGUGAAAUGCGUAGAGAUCUGGAGGAAUACCGAUGGCGAAGGCAGCCAUCUGGCCUAACACUGACGCUGAGGUGGCGAAAGCAUGGGGGAG